AGCGAACGCUGGCGGCGUGCCUAACACAUGCAAGUCGAACGUGAAAAGGGAAACCUGAGUAAAGUGGCGUACGGGUGAGUAACGCGUAGGUAAUCUACCCCAGAAUCUGGAAUAACCUGCCGAAAGGCGGGCUAAUACUGGAUAGAGCGAGGGAACUCGUAAGAGAGUUUUUCGGGAAAGGGAGCCCGCAAGGGCCUUCGUUCUGGGAUGAGCCUGCGUCUCAUUAGCUAGUUGGUAAGGUAACGGCUUACCAAGGCGAUGAUGAGUAGCUGGUCUGAGAGGAGGAGCAGCCACACUGGAACUGAAACACGGUCCAGAAUCCUACGGGAGGCAGCAGUGGGGAAUCUUGCGAAAUGGACGAAAGUCUGACGCAGCCACGCCGCGUGAGUGAAGAAGGCCUUCGGGUUGUAAAGCUCUGUCGGAUGGGACGAACAUCUUCAUAGUGAAUAGCUAUGAGGACUGACGGUACCAUCAAAGGAAGCACCGGCUAACUCCGUG
RNAcentral lists this ribosomal RNA (498 nucleotides) under uncultured bacterium. RNAcentral describes it as "partial 16S ribosomal RNA". It matches the Rfam family "Bacterial small subunit ribosomal RNA", at positions 29 to 507 of the family's 1533-position model. The record is from RNAcentral.